Molecule: long non-coding RNA, 720 nt
Organism: Dermacentor andersoni
Lineage: Eukaryota; Metazoa; Arthropoda; Arachnida; Ixodida; Ixodidae
Source: RefSeq, a predicted model, not a curated record
AGUCUUGAGAUACAUGUCAUUUGUUUGCAGCAGAUAUGAAUGUUUGCUCAUAUUUAUGGUGCAGUAUAAUUGGUUCGAACAUAAAAGAAAACACUAUAUGAGUUUAGCGAAUCUGUGAUGUAUCUAGUGUGUCACUGUUCUGCAACAGAGUCUGUGUCAAGCACAUCUUGGUCAUCACAGGAGCUCCCGGGGCUGGAGCCGAAUUUGCAAAGCUUUUACACCACCAACAAAGUGCAUGAAGAAGAAUUUUGAAGAAAUAAGUCUGCAGAGGUCUGAGUCAAGACUGAAAAGAGCUUCAGCCGCCAUUCCAUAAGCACGGACAUUUGACCGAGUCAUCCAGGUUCGGCUUUCCGACACUCCAAGAGGGCAUGGAGGACUGUCAGCCUCUCACCGCAUCUACCACAGGUUGGAGGUUCACUUCCAGCAUCUGUUGUCCACACAGUUCUAAGCAAGGAUCCGGAACCAGGCCUCUCUUUCUUGUAAACAAAACACAAGAACUCUUAUGAGGAUUGAUUUUAAAUCCAUUUUUCUCUGCCCACCCUGACACCUUGUUCAAACCAUGCUGUACCUGUCUCUCGCACACUGCGAGGUUACAGGAUUCGAAACCUAUUUGGAUGUCGUCCACAUAGACGGAAUACAAAAUGGCCGGUGGUAAGGAAGCACGAAGUGUUGUCAUCUUAACAAUAAAGAGUGUGCAACUGAGCACGCCACCCUGGCGUA